GACGAACGCUGGCGGCGUGCUUAACACAUGCAAGUCGAACGGUGAAGCUCCAGCUUGCUGGAGUGGAUCAGUGGCGAACGGGUGAGUAACACGUGAGCAACCUGCCCCUGACUCUGGAAUAAGCGCUGGAAACGGCGUCUAAUACUGGAUAUGAGAAGGGUCCGCAUGGACACUUUCUGGAAAGUUUUUCGGUUGGGGAUGGGCUCGCGGCCUAUCAGCUUGUUGGUGAGGUAAUGGCUCACCAAGGCGACGACGGGUAGCCGGCCUGAGAGGGCGACCGGCCACACUGGGACUGAGACACGGCCCAGACUCCUACGGGAGGCAGCAGUGGGGAAUAUUGCACAAUGGGCGGAAGCCUGAUGCAGCGACGCCGCGUGCGGGAUGACGGCCUUCGGGUUGUAAACCUCUUUCAGCAGGGAAGAAGCGAAAGUGACGGUACCUGCAGAAGAAGCACCGGCUAACUACGUG
RNAcentral lists this ribosomal RNA (468 nucleotides) under uncultured bacterium. RNAcentral's name for it is "partial 16S ribosomal RNA". It matches the Rfam family "Bacterial small subunit ribosomal RNA", at positions 28 to 507 of the family's 1533-position model. The record is from RNAcentral.